UACGUAGGGUCCGAGCGUUGUCCGGAAUUAUUGGGCGUAAAGGGCUCGUAGGCGGUUUGUCGCGUCGGGAGUGAAAACCAGAGGCUUAACUUCUGGCUUGCUAUCGAUACGGGCAGACUUGAGGCAUGCAGGGGAGAACGGAAUUCCUGGUGUAGCGGUGAAAUGCGCAGAUAUCAGGAGGAACACCGGUGGCGAAGGCGGUUCUCUGGGCAUGUUCUGACGCUGAGGAGCGAAAGUGUGGGGAGCGAACAGG
This 253-nucleotide ribosomal RNA is filed under the name uncultured bacterium. RNAcentral's name for it is "partial 16S ribosomal RNA". It matches the Rfam family "Bacterial small subunit ribosomal RNA", at positions 524 to 776 of the family's 1533-position model. The record is from RNAcentral.